AGCUCUUUUAGCGUAUAUUAAUGUUGUUGCAGUUAAAAAGCUCGUAGUUGAAUUUCUGGGUAGUCAUCUUUGUCAACCUUAACCGGUGUGUACAUUGUUUGGCUGCUCAUCCUUCUGAAGAACCUAUGUGGUAUUCAUUUAUCAUGUAGGGGAUCAGAUCUUUUACUUUGAAAAAAUUAGAGUGUUUCAGGCAGGCAAUCGCUGGAAUACAUUAGCAUGGAAUAAUGAAAUAGGAUUUUGGUUCUAUUUGUUGGUUUUUAGGGCCAAAGUAAUGAUUAAUAGGGAUAGUUGGGGGCAUUAGUAUUUAAUUGUCAGAGGUGAAAUUCAUGGAUUUGUUAAAGACUAACUUAUGCGAAAGCAUUUGCCAAGGAUGUUUUCA
This 379-nucleotide ribosomal RNA is filed under the name uncultured eukaryote. RNAcentral describes it as "SSU rRNA". It matches the Rfam family "Eukaryotic small subunit ribosomal RNA", at positions 587 to 972 of the family's 1831-position model. The record is from RNAcentral.